RNAcentral lists this ribosomal RNA (406 nucleotides) under uncultured bacterium. RNAcentral describes it as "partial 16S ribosomal RNA". It matches the Rfam family "Bacterial small subunit ribosomal RNA", at positions 30 to 526 of the family's 1533-position model. The record is from RNAcentral.
AUUGAACGCUGGCGGCAGGCCUAACACAUGCAAGUCGAGCGAGCGGCGGACGGGUGAGUAAUGUCUGGGAAACUGCCUGAUGGAGGGGGAUAACUACUGGAAACGGUAGCUAAUACCGCAUACCAUCAGAUGUGCCCAGAUGUGAUUGGCUAGUAGGUGGGGUAACGGCUCACCUAGGCGACGAUCCCUAGCUGGUCUGAGAGGAUGAUCAGCCACACGGGAACUGAGACACGGCCCAGACUCCUACGGGAGGCAGCAGUGGGGAAUAUUGCACAAUGGGCGAAAGCCUGAUGCAGCCAUGCCGCGUGAGUGAAGAAGGCCUUCGGGUUGUAAAGCACUGUCAGCGGGGAGGCGUUACCCGAAGAAGAAGCACCGGCUAACUCCGUGCCAGCAGCCGCGGUAAUUC